This 588-nucleotide ribosomal RNA is filed under the name Triticum aestivum (bread wheat). Its description in RNAcentral is "partial small subunit ribosomal RNA". The record is from RNAcentral. Lineage: Eukaryota; Viridiplantae; Streptophyta; Magnoliopsida; Poales; Poaceae.
AUGCAUACAGACAUUACAUGGGAAAUGUUUCGCCGUGCAAUUGUGGAGGAAUUUGAUCCUGAAGAAUUUGAGUCCACAAUGCACAACCUGCUGCAGCUUCGGCAAACAGGGACAGUGGCAGAAUAUAGACAACAAUUUGAAGUCCACAUGUAUAAUUUGCUAGCGUUGGAUGCCUCUCUCAGCUCUAAAUUUUUUGUCACCCAAUUCCUGUUGGGCCUAAAGGAUGAGCUCCGAGCAGCAGUCCGUCUUCAGGCACCUACCAGCAUCACAAGAGCGACGGUCUUUUCUCGAAUUCAGGAGGAGGAACUUGAGAUUCGGUGUCCUCGUUUUCGUCCGUGUCUGCAGGACGACCACUGCCCAUUCCAAGUACCUUGCCAACACUCGGGCGCCCCCCUCCAGCACCUGUCUUGCCCACUACAGCAAUACCUCCAGCACGUGUUGUUCCGACACCCAAACCGGCUACUAACGAUUUUGGCCACGAACGCCAACUUCGCGACUAUAGGCGACAGCAUGGUCUUUGUUUCAGAUGUGGGGACAAAUACUCAAGAGAAAAUCAGUGCAAACGGUCAGCUCAGCUGCUUACAAUAG